RNAcentral lists this ribosomal RNA (484 nucleotides) under uncultured bacterium. Its description in RNAcentral is "partial 16S ribosomal RNA". It matches the Rfam family "Bacterial small subunit ribosomal RNA", at positions 28 to 523 of the family's 1533-position model. The record is from RNAcentral.
GACGAACGCUGGCGGCGUGCUUAUCACAUGCAAGUCGAACGAUGAAGCUGGAGCUUGCUCCGGUGGAUUAGUGGCGAACGGGUGAGUAACAAGUGAGUAAUCUGCCCUUGACUCUGGGAUAACUGCGGGAAACUGUAGCUAAUACCGGAUACGACCCCUUCGGGCAUCCGAUGGGUGUGGAAAGAAUUUCGGUCAAGGAUGAACUCGCGGCCUAUCAGCUAGUUGGGGAGGUAAUGGCUCACCAAGGCGACGACGGGUAGCCGGCCUGAGAGGGUGACCGGCCACACUGGGACUGAGACACGGCCCAGACUCCUACGGGAGGCAGCAGUGGGGAAUAUUGCACAAUGGGCGAAAGCCUGUUGCAGCAACGCCGCGUGAGGGAUGAAGGCCUUCGGGUUGUAAACCUCUUUUAGUUGGGAAGAAGCGAAAGUGACGGUACCAACAGAAAAAGCACCGGCUAACUACGUGCCAGCCGCCGCGGUAA